RNAcentral lists this ribosomal RNA (443 nucleotides) under uncultured bacterium. RNAcentral's name for it is "bacterial SSU rRNA". It matches the Rfam family "Bacterial small subunit ribosomal RNA", at positions 38 to 524 of the family's 1533-position model. The record is from RNAcentral.
GGCAGCAUGCUUACACAUGCAGUCCCACGGAUGGGGGAACCCCAUUAGUGGCGGACGGGUGAGUAACGCGUAGGUAUCUAUCCUUGGGUAGGGGAUAACUGUGGGAAACUACAGCUAAUACCGCAUGAUCCCUGAGGGGCAAAGGCGCAAGUCGCCUGAGGAGGAGCCUGCGUCCGAUUAGCUAGUUGGUGGGGUAAAGGCCUACCAAGGCUGCGAUCGGUAGCUGGUCUGAUAGGAUGAUCAGCCACACUGGGACUGAGACACGGCCCAGACUCCUACGGGAGGCAGCAGUGGGGAAUAUUGGACUAUGGGCGCAAGCCUGAUCCAGCAAUGCCGCGUGGGUGAAGAAGGUCUUCGGAUUGUAAAGCCCUUUCGGCGGGGACGAUGAUGACGGUACCCGCAGAAGAAGCCCCGGCUAACUUCGUGCCAUCAGCCGCGGUAAU